This 3802-nucleotide small RNA is filed under the name Pongo abelii (Sumatran orangutan). RNAcentral describes it as "retained intron". The record is from RNAcentral. Lineage: Eukaryota; Metazoa; Chordata; Mammalia; Primates; Hominidae.
AUUUUUCUCUCCCAGCGGCGUCUACUUCCGGGUCAGAGCUCAGACCUAGGGUGUAGAGAACAACCUUCCGUAACAGGCAGGAAUAGUCGAAAUAGGAUAGCAUCGUCUUUCUUAAAGUGACAGGCUCAAAGCAAUUGGGGAAGCCCUAUCCAGAAGUUGUGAGGGCGACUCAGCUAUUCUGAAUCCAAUCCUGGGCAAAGUUCUGGACAAGUCUCACGUUUCUGCCAAUGAGGAAGGGAUAUGAAGAAGCAGAUUGUUUCCCAGGUGAGGAGAAGAGGAGAGCCUUAGACAAUCCACUCCAAGAGCCUGAGGUGCAGCCAGUUCCGUCUGUCCUCCAGUCUUCCCCACCCCAUCCUACUAGCUCUGCGAGGCAGAGCUUUCUCGUCCUCAUAUCAUAUAUGAAAAGAAUGGCCGGGCGCGGUGGCUCACGCCUGUAAUCCCAGCACUUGGGGAGGCCGAGGCGGGCGGAUCACGAGGUCCGGGGUUUGAGACCAGCAUGGCCAACAUGGUGAAACCCGUCUCUACUAAAAAUACAAAAAUUAGCCGGCCGUGGUGCCACGCGCCGGUAGUCCCAGCUACUCGGGAGGCUGAGGCAGGAGAAUCGCUUGAACCCGGGAGGCGGAGGUUGCAGUGAGCUUAGACUGCGCCAUUGCAUACCAGCCUGGGCGACAGAGCAAGACUCCGUCUCAAAAAAAGAAAAAAGAAAAAAAAGAAAGAAAGAAAAUAAUGAGGCUCAGAAUCGAUGGAUCGCACAGUCCCACAACUUCGCAGCCAAGACCAGACUCGGGUUCACCCCCUUCCCAAGUGUGGUUCUGUAACCCCGUUUUGCUGACGCCGAUGCGGAUGCAGAGGGCAGAGAUGGCCCAUCCUUAGCAGAGACCAACCUCCACCCUAAGCAGCAGAGCACGCAGCUGGGGGCUUUUCUUUCUAGAUCUCAAAAGCCUGCUGUGAUGGGGGAUCUGGUUCUGCCGUUUCCCUCCUCUGCCUCUCCUGGCCCGCCUACCCGGGAACUCCCCGCCUGGAGCUUCUGGGAGGGGAGCGGUGCAGGCCGCCCGCGUCAUCUGAUGCUGUUUCCUGCAGGAGGGAGAAGAGCGGAAAAAAGUGAAACUCCACCCUCCACCUCUGCCUCCCGCCCCCGGGGCCAAAGUACAAAGGGAGGAGGAAGAAGGGAGCGGGGUCGGAGCCGUCGGGGCCAAAGGAGACGGGGCCAGGAACAGGCAGUCUCGCCCCAACUGCGGACGCUCCCUCCACCCCCUGCGCAAAAAGACCCAACCGGAGUUGACGCGCUGCCCCUGGAGGCCCCACCUUACACUUGGCGGGGCCGGAGCCGGGCUCCCAGGACUGCUCCAGAAGCGAGGGAAGCUCGGGUCCCUCCGAGCUAGCCAUGGUGAGGCGCCGGAGGCCCCGGGGCCCCACCCCCCCGGCUUGACCACACUGCCCUGGGUGCCCUCCUCCAGAAGCCCGAGAUGCGGGGGGCCAGGAGACGACACUCCUGGCUCCCCGGAGAGGCGUGGGUCUGGGGCUGAGGGCCAGGGCCCGGAUGCCCAGGUUCCGGGACUAGGGCCUCGGCAGCCAGCGGGGGUGGGGACCACGGGCACCCAGAGAAGGUCCUCCACACAUCCCAACGCCGGCUCCCGGGCAUGGAGCCCUUGAAGAGCCUCUUCCUCAAGAGCCCUCUAGGGUCAUGGAAUGGCAGUGGCAGCGGGGGUGGUGGGGGCGGUGGAGGAGGCCGGCCUGAGGGGUCUCCAAAGGCAGCAGGUUAUGCCAACCCGGUGUGGACAGCCCUGUUCGACUACGAGCCCAGUGGGCAGGAUGAGUUGGCCCUGAGGAAGGGUGACCGUGUGGAGGUGCUGUCCCGGGACGCAGCCAUCUCAGGAGAUGAGGGCUGGUGGGCAGGCCAGGUGGGUGGCCAGGUGGGCAUCUUCCCGUCCAACUAUGUGUCUCGGGGUGGCGGCCCGCCCCCCUGCGAGGUGGCCAGCUUCCAGGAGCUACGGCUGGAGGAGGUGAUCGGCAUUGGAGGCUUCGGCAAGGUGUACCGGGGCAGCUGGCGAGGCGAGCUGGUGGCUGUGAAGGCAGCUCGCCAGGACCCCGAUGAGGACAUCAGUGUGACAGCUGAGAGCGUUCGCCAGGAGGCCCGGCUCUUCGCCAUGCUGGCACACCCCAACAUCAUUGCCCUCAAGGCUGUGUGCCUGGAGGAGCCCAACCUGUGCCUGGUGAUGGAGUAUGCAGCCGGUGGGCCCCUCAGCCGAGCUCUGGCCGGGCGGCGCGUGCCUCCCCAUGUGCUAGUCAACUGGGCCGUGCAGAUUGCCCGUGGGAUGCACUACCUGCACUGCGAGGCCCUGGUGCCCGUCAUCCACCGCGAUCUCAAGUCCAACAACAUUUUGCUGCUGCAGCCCAUUGAGGGUGACGACAUGGAGCACAAGACCCUGAAGAUCACCGACUUUGGCCUGGCCCGAGAGUGGCACAAAACCACACAAAUGAGUGCCGCGGGCACCUAUGCCUGGAUGGCUCCUGAGGUUAUCAAGGCCUCCACCUUCUCUAAGGGCAGUGACGUCUGGAGGUGCGAACCUCGGUGGGGCUGGACAGGGGCUGCUACGGGGCUGCAGAAGGCAGAGGUGGCUGCCUAAGUCUAGGGCUGGGCCAAGUCCAGGGACAGGGACCCAAACCACUUGGCUCCUAGUUGCUUUUGGGUGAAGUGGCAGUAAGGGGGUGGGGGUUGGGAGAGAAAAGGGAAUACAGACCUGUUGUCUCGCCCACAGUUUUGGGGUGCUGCUGUGGGAACUGCUGACCGGGGAGGUGCCAUACCGUGGCAUUGACUGCCUUGCUGUGGCCUAUGGCGUAGCUGUUAACAAGCUCACACUGCCCAUCCCAUCCACCUGCCCCGAGCCCUUCGCACAGCUUAUGGCCGGUAAGAGGACGGGGAGGGCAGGUGAGGUGCAGAGCUCCCUGGCCCAGGACACGUCCACCCAUAGACCCCUUCUUAUUCUGUCCCCGCUGCACGCCGUGCCCCUAGACUGCUGGGCGCAGGACCCCCACCGCAGGCCCGACUUCGCCUCCAUCCUGCAGCAGUUGGAGGCGCUGGAGGCACAGGUCCUACGGGAAAUGCCGCGGGACUCCUUCCAUUCCAUGCAGGAAGGCUGGAAGCGCGAGAUCCAGGGUCUCUUCGACGAGCUGCGAGCCAAGGAAAAGGAACUACUGAGCCGCGAGGAGGAGCUGACGCGAGCGGCGCGCGAGCAGCGGUCACAGGCGGAGCAGCUGCGGCGGCGCGAGCACCUGCUGGCCCAGUGGGAGCUAGAGGUGUUCGAGCGCGAGCUGACGCUGCUGCUGCAGCAGGUAGACCGCGAGCGACCGCACGUGCGUCGCCGCCGCGGCACAUUCAAGCGCAGCAAGCUCCGGGCGCGCGACGGCGGCGAGCGCAUCAGCAUGCCACUCGACUUCAAGCACCGCAUCACCGUGCAGGCCUCACCCGGCCUUGACCGGAGGAGAAACGUCUUCGAGGUCGGGCCUGGGGAUUCGCCCACCUUCCCCCGGUUCCGGGCCAUCCAGUGUAAGAAACUUCGCCUCUCAUGCCCCUCUCCGCCCCCCAGCCCCAUAUUCUCUGUCAGACCUUAUACUUGGAGGUGGAUCCCACUCACUAUCCCCUCUCCCUCCCCGCCCCCAGGCUCCAUGCCCUAGGUCUAGCCUGUUACUUCUGAACUCCCCAAGCAGCAUUAAUUUUACUUAUUUUUUUUAGUCAAAUAAUUGUAUGAUACUAUGUACUACUAAUUUUCUAAAUGCUUUGCUAAUAUUAAUUUCGUGCAAU